RNAcentral lists this ribosomal RNA (460 nucleotides) under uncultured bacterium. Its description in RNAcentral is "partial 16S ribosomal RNA". It matches the Rfam family "Bacterial small subunit ribosomal RNA", at positions 338 to 795 of the family's 1533-position model. The record is from RNAcentral.
CCUACGGGAGGCUGCAGUGAGGAAUAUUGGUCAAUGGACGAGAGUCUGAACCAGCCAAGUAGCGUGAAGGAUGACUGCCUUAUGGGUUGUAAACUUCUUUUAUAUGGGAAUAAAAUGUUCCACGUGUGGGAUUUUGUAUGUACCAUAUGAAUAAGGAUCGGCUAACUCCGUGCCAGCAGCCGCGGUAAUACGGAGGAUCCGAGCGUUAUCCGGAUUUAUUGGGUUUAAAGGGAGCGUAGGUGGAUUGUUAAGUCAGGUGUGAAAGUUUGCGGCUCAACCGUAAAAUUGCAGUUGAAACUGGCAGUCUGGAGUACAGUAGAGGUGGGCGGAAUUCGUGGUGUAGCGGUGAAAUGCUUAGAGAUCACGAAGAACUCCGAUUGCGAAGGCAGCUCACUGGACUGCAACUGACACUGAGGCUCGAAAGUGUGGGUAUCAAACAGGAUUAGAUACCCCUGUAGUC